Molecule: long non-coding RNA, 616 nt
Organism: Pseudophryne corroboree (corroboree frog)
Lineage: Eukaryota; Metazoa; Chordata; Amphibia; Anura; Myobatrachidae
Exons: 3
Source: RefSeq, a predicted model, not a curated record
AGGAAUGUCGUGGGGCAAAUUUGCCAAAGUCCUGUGACGAGUCCUGAAUGCCUUCAUUAGCAGAGUGAAGCAGUUCAUCUCAAUGGCUUUGGAUGCUGGUGCCCUGGCUGUGAUGAAGCGGCAAUUUCAGGAAGGGGGUAGUCACUUCCCACUCGUUAUUGGGGUUGUGGAUGGGACACAUGUCGUGAUAGUUGCGCCAAAACAUAAUGAGGAAAUAUAAAGGAACAGGAAAAUGUUCCAUUCUCUGAAUGUCAUGGUUGUUUGUGGCCCAUCCCUCCAGAUCCUGUCCCUGAAUGCUAUGUUUCCGGGAAAUGCGCAUGAUUCACACGUCAUUCGCCAAUCAGGGAUCUGGCAAAGAUUAAGAAUGAUGGAAGGACAGGACAUGUGGCUAUUGGGAGAUCGUGGAUAUCCUUGCACCCCCUGGCUCAUGACUCCUUACAGCAAACCCAGGCCAAGACCACAGUGGCAGUUUAAUUCCGCACUUACUGCCACUAGACAGCUGGUGGAGCGCACGAUUGGAGUUCUUAAAGGGCGGUUCCGUGUGGCGACAUCAUGUAUUCACCAGAAAUGCAUUUUAUCUGCUAUGUUUACAUUCGAAAUCCAAAACCAUCUGACC